Molecule: ribosomal RNA, 450 nt
Filed under: uncultured bacterium
Lineage: Bacteria
Description: partial 16S ribosomal RNA
Rfam family: Bacterial small subunit ribosomal RNA
Source: RNAcentral
GUGGGGAAUAUUGGACAAUGGGCGAAAGCCUGAUCCAGCCAUGCCGCGUGUGUGAAGAAGGUCUUCGGAUUGUAAAGCACUUUAAGUGGGGAGGAAGGGCAGUAAGUUAAUACCUUGCUGUUUUGACGUUACCGACAGAUUAAGCACCGGCUACCUUCGUGCCAGCAGCCGCGGUAAUACGAAGGGUGCAAGCGUUAAUCGGAAUUACUGGGCGUAAAGCGCGCGUAGGUGGUUUUGUAAGUUGGAGGUGAAAUCCCCGGGCUCAACCUGGGAACUGCCUCCAAAACUGCAUGACUAGAGUACGGUAGAGGGUAGUGGAAUUUCCUGUGUAGCGGUGAAAUGCGUAGAUAUAGGAAGGAACACCAGUGGCGAAGGCGACUACCUGGACUGAUACUGACACUGAGGUGCGAAAGCGUGGGGAGCAAACAGGAUUAGAUACCCGUGUAGUCC